CCCAGCCCCGCACGGCCCCGCUCCGCAGCCCCGGUCCCGCAGAGCCCCGGCCGGUCCUACCUUGCAGCUCUCGCAGCUGAUUAGCAGGGUCGGCCCAUGAAGACAGCGAUGUGGAGCACAGACCCAGCAUUCGCCUCCGGGUUCCCCCAGACAUGAGGCAUCUUCUCCAGCACAGUUCCAACCUGCUGGCCCCCCAGCACCCAGCCCGUGGCACUGCUCCCCUCCUACUCAUGGCAGCCUGCAGGGAGGGGAUCCACCACCCCAAUAAAGUGGUGACCAACCCCAUUGGAAGUGUCCACACUUGGCACACUGAGAUGUGAGAGACUUGUGAUGGACCAGACAAUGGAGACCCACCAGUCUGCUGCACUCAGAACUCUGGUUUUCAGGUGUGAACUCCAAAUGGACAGUGACUGGGGAAGGGAUGAGGAGAGGUGUGGGAGCUGUUGGUGCCAGGAUGGGGAGAGCUCAUGGAAUAGACAUGGGCAGGGUGGACAUCAAUGGAGAACCUUCCCCAACUCUGGGAGAGGCCCCACAGGACCAUGCCAGCAGAUCUGUCACCCACUGCUGGACUGACUGUGCCUCUGCAGGGAGCUGACCCAGCUGACCCCACAGCCCUGUCCCAGCCAGUUCCCAUGGGGUGACACACUCCUGGGAACAGCCACUCCUGUCAAGAGGAAAGCAGCUUACCCUUGAAAGUUACUUUGCGAAGGUCAAGAGUGGGACUGUGACAGAGCAGCCUGACAAACACAUCUCCCUAAGUCCUUGGGCCCGAUAAUGUAUGUCCCAUGCAAUGUUGACACUAGUGAUCCACCAAAGAUCAGGUUAACAAGUUUGACGUUAGUGACAGCGUGAUUUGUUCCGCGCUGGCUCUGAAUUCAUAGAGCCGCUGGCCUUCGGUGAUAAACUAUUGCGCCGCGCACACGGGGCUGUGGCAGUUGUCACCCGCCAGAGCACCGAGAUGAAAAGGAAGCAGAGCUCUAAUCAAAAUACAGUGGUCAGUAGGGGUUGAGCUGAAAAUUAAAAGGUGCUGGUACUUUUCCCACUCCAGCCUGGCUUUCCAGGCAGCGCCUCGUGCCAGUGCGGGGUGAGGGGAGAGGCUGCCUUGUCACCUCUGCGUGGCUCCAGAUUCCUUUGAAAGGGAGGACAAACCCACCACCUCACGUGCACAGAGCAUCCUCUGCCACCUCCCAGGGAGCCCCACCACUGCUGAUCUUCGGGGCCCCCUCACCAGGAAUAAAUCCCGUGUGGCACAAUGCCCUUAUCCCAGUUCCCAGCCACAGCAGCAGCCCCAAGGCCUUCCCCACACCCACAGCCCAUUCCAGGAGCGCAGCAGCAGGCAGGGCAGGGCCACAGCCACCACCCAGGGCAGCGCUGGGCUCCCCCACCCUGAGAGAGCCACCACCAACAUGGGAAGGCACAAACAGCCUGGAAACACCAGCAGUGCAGAACAUUUCACAUUUAUUAGUUCAUACAGCUAAACACUCACUAAACAUGCAUUCAACACUUAUUGGUCACAUUUCCACAGGUAGUCAAGUCCCAGAGCAGAGCAGCGGAGCGGGGCAGGCUGGGAGCCGCCGGCAGAAACAUUCAUUUGGUCGUGGCGCGGUGAGGGGGCAGCUGCCGGUGCCCGUUCCCCCGCGGUGACACGGGGCCGGGCACACCCUCCUGCCCCAGCCCGGCUCCGAGUGUGCCAAUGCUCACCGUGUGCCAUGCUGCAGCAACAUCCUGCUUCCCUGAUUUACACAGGGAUUGUGGGAAAAAUGAACGGGAGAAACCAUCACUGGGAACGCCACCAAGAAGGAGCCAACAGCUGGGACUGACCCUCUUGGAAACAUCCCUCACAGCAGCAAGGGGCCGACACAGGCAGCAAACCUGACCCGCUGCCUCCCCGGGCUGCCAGGACGGGCACACGAGGAGCUGCGAGGUCCUGGGAGGUGCCAGGGUACAAAACAGCCUCUGCACCAGGCCUGGGGCUGGAUGGGCACCGCCAAAACCCAAACUGCCAUGAGCCACACGGUCCCCAGGGAGGGACACCGGGCCACGGGACACACAGCAGUGACAGGAGCCAACCCCAGGAAACACAACUCCAGCAAUCACGGCCCCCGUUCCUCGCUGGCAACAGACACUGGCAGUGUUUAGUUUUUCACACAAUCCCUUUGAGAUGAUAAACAGGAUGUCACACGAGGUAGUUUAGUUAUGGAAA
Taeniopygia guttata (zebra finch) is the source of this 2203-nucleotide non-coding RNA. The record is from RefSeq and is a predicted model, not a curated record. NCBI's taxonomy places the organism in Eukaryota, Metazoa, Chordata, Aves, Passeriformes, Estrildidae.